RNAcentral lists this long non-coding RNA (6402 nucleotides) under Haliotis rufescens (red abalone). RNAcentral's name for it is "uncharacterized LOC124113914". Lineage: Eukaryota; Metazoa; Mollusca; Gastropoda; Lepetellida; Haliotidae. The record is from RNAcentral.
GGUGCACGCACGCACGUCGCUUAAUGAGUGUAAUUAUCUUGAACGCGACGUUAAACCCCCUUCCACCUCACCUCACCUCACCUGUACAUAUUUGUAGGCUUACCACUGACCAUGUAUUUUCAGUUUCAGUUUGUAUCAUAAUAACAAACCAACUUUUCUUCCAACUCUUUAAAAUCUAUUUUCUAUCAGUACACAUGUAAAUAUUUACAUGGCUGAAUAAUUUUCACAGUUAUGAUGCAUAUAAAUAGUUAUAUUUGAACCAGGAAUAAUUUGUUGUAUACACAUGAUGUUAAUGUAGUGUUUGCUGUAAAUUGUCUAUAUGUGUUGACUGUGGUGUUUUGUCAAUGUUGUACACCACUCUGGCAGUCAGUGUGUAACUACAAUAAAUUGUCAGAUAUUUUCACCUGAUUUUAACCACUUAGAUUUGUAAAUAGAGAACAAGAAGUAAACUACCUUUAUGAACAAUUAUACUUUAUUUGAGUUUGGAAGCUGUAGUGUCAGUGUAACCAGUGUGAAUCAUUGAUCAUAGUGUAAAUCACUGGUUUGUCAGGUCCAGACUAUUUACACAACUGCUGUCAUGUAGCUGGAAUAUUGCUGAGUGCAGCACUAAACAAUAACUUCAACUGAAGAAGUGUGUUAUCAAGGGGGUAAGAUUGACUUUUACUAAUGGGUGCCCUAAAGGAAGUAUAUGUUAAUAAAUCAAUCCUGUUUGAAUUAAUGAAUUGUUUAAUACGCAUUACUUAGAAGUUGACGGAUGAAAAAGUAGACACAAUUUAUGGAUAACGACUUCUUUAUUUACAGUAAAGGCGACGUUUCAGUAUAUGCAAAAUUUUUCAAAAAAUUGUUUUAUGGGAAAAAACCCAGUUGCGCUUCAUGCGCGCUGCCCGGUUACACCUCAUGGCGGGAAUCAAUACAUCACUUAAAAGAUAUGACGUAACGGUGACGUCAUCCACGUUAGCGUCAUCCACGUCAGCUUUCUGAUUAUCGCGCAUCUCCGCCUGGAUAGCCGCCCGCUCCGGACGUGUUUUGCCCUGUCUCAUUUUAGCAACUUAAAAUCAACGUUUCAGUAUAAAUCUUUAUACCAUUGUCAAGCUAGCCUACAAUGGUAUAAGGAUCUAUACCGAAACUUCACCUUUACUGUAAAUAAAGAAGUUGUUAUCCAUAAAUUGUGUCUACUCUAUUUGAAUUAAUAAAGAAACCACGAACUCCAACUAAGGGAGGAGCGUUGGUGUAAGAUCGUCCAUUAUGUUUUGUUGUCUAGAUCGUUGACCCAUGUUGGAUUAUUUGAUUGUUCACUUGAUGGUAUCAUUGUUUGGAAUAUAUACCUAUAUUGUCCCUUAAUAUGAUCAUCAGGAAAUGGUAACUAAUGUUCUUUUUUCAAUGUACAUGUAGACAUCUGAUGUCUGAUAAGUGGGUCUCAUUAGCUCACCUGUUUGAAAGUCAAGUGAGCUUAUGUCAUGCCUCAUGUCCUGUGUCCAGCAACUGUCAAACUUUUAAUUACAUAUUCAGGUGAGCUACAGUGCCCUAGCACCAUUUUGAUAUCAUUGAAGCAUCUGAUAUCAUGAAUGGCCAUGAUGGUGGUGGGAAGGGAUAUCGAUUUGGGUGGCAGGAGGUUGAUUGGCAGCGGUAGACAGAAACAUUUUUAGUCCACUAGUCAUGAUGAUAACAUAUAGCAAAACACUUAAAAAUGGCAAAUUUCUCCUAGUUCUUUAUGAUACCUUAACUAUUGGCAGUUUGGCAAGGACUACAGGACUAGUGCCAAUUUCUAUCGCUGAUUGGUAUAAAAAUAUAUUGGUUUCGCCUAAUGCGGAUUCAUGUUUUGGGUAGCCUGAAGUUGUUAGGAGGGACAAUAUAGUUUGAAGAAAAUAUAUGGUAUUACUCUUUCAAGUGGAGGAUGUUUAGUAUUUUUAUAGUUAUGUUUAUUAUUAUGUAUUUAUGUCUAAGAAUAGUUUGUUUUAUGUAAAAAGUGUGCAGUGGCAGACUAUAUACGAUGUGUAUGUAAACUAUAUAUAUAUGUAAUUUAUUUCAUCAAUUAUCUAAAAACUUAAUACACAUGUAGUUACUUUUAUUUCUUAUUGUUUUUUAAGUUGUAUCUGUUUAGUUCUCCGAUCAAUUAAAGAUGGAUCUGGCGAAUAUAAAGAAAUGUGUUUAAUUUAAUCUAAUUUAUUUUAAAAUAAACACUAUUCUUAUUUUAAAAUAAAAACUUCUUUUUUAUUUUGUGAUUGUGGCUUUUGGCUCCAGUCAGUUGAAUGUGUAAACCGAAAACUAAAUGUGUCCGAUAUUCAGCUUCAUUGCUGAAUUUCACUAAGUGAAUGUUGACUAACCCUUGGUCUCAGUUCCUGAUACAGCAACAGACCCACAACCACUCUUGUAUUAUGUAAUCUGUAUAUCUUGAAGGUUCUAUUUAUGAUUCACCACAGUGCAUGCAUGCAUGCAGAUUGUAAAUAACUUUUGGUUUGGCUUUGGAUGUUAAUUGUAAUGUUAUUAUCAUGUACCAUGGUCAAGAAGGUCAAACAUGUGAAGGUCAGACAUGUGAAGGUCAAACAUGUGAAGGUCAAACAUGUGAAGGGCAGACAUGAAGGAUCCUGUAGUGUACAAAGUUGACCCGGGUGAGCAUGCAGCACUGGUUACGAUUAUUUUAUCACACAUUCAAAGGAGAACCAACCAUAUUUGUUAGAGAAUCAGAUAUCAUGCAUAGGAUGGCAUUGACAUUAGGCGGCAAUUAGCACUGAAUACUUCAAUAUUUCAGUCUUUAUUUUAAAGUAAUGUAAUAUGUUUGUCUAUUAAAUUUGACCCUUAUAAGUUAAGGAAGAAGUCAUGGGGUCUCUCAUAACCCAGUGUUAUAAACCUUAAAGACCCCAGCAAUCCUUAAUUUCAAACACAGCUUACAGCAAUCUCAUAAAAUCAGAUUUUUGUGCUCACUACUGCUACCAAGGCUUAGCACUAUAUAUGAGUUUGAGGUGAUGGGCUCAACAGAAUGUCCAAGUGCCAGUGGCCUUUCAAACCAGUUGAGUGAUGCCAUGUAUGUGAAACUGUCAAGUGUAGGAUGUAAUCUUGUAAUGUUUAUUUAUUUAUGUUUGUCAAUGCUUUUUUAAUGCAUUUUGACCAUGAAGUUGAUAUUUGACAAAAGUAAAUCAGGAAAGUACCUGAUCCUGAAAACACACGUUAUAUUUGGCAUUGGAAUGAAUUCAACUCUCCUAGUUACAUAUGUAUGAGGGGCGGUGGGGUAGCCGAGUGGUUAAAGUGUGCGCUCAUGCUGAAGACCCAGGUUCGUAUCCCCACAUGGGUACAAUGUGUGAACCUAUUCCUGGUGUCCCCUGACGUGAUAUUGCUGGAAUAUUGCAGAAAGCGGCGUAAAACCACACUCACACAUGCAUGUUUGUUUUGAGUCCCAGAUUUCAUGGCCAAGGUUUCUGUUUGUUUGUUUCUGGUUUCAGACGACCGUGUUUCAGUUGUUGUUAUUUUGUACCUGUAGCAGUAGCACAUGUAUAUUUGUUCCCAAGUGUCAGUUGACAAAGAUGGCUUUAAAGUUACGGAAACAAAUGUAAUCUUUUUAACCUUUACCAUACAGAGUGGUAUGGCAAUUAAUGUUGUUUGUUACGUAGUAUUAAACCGGUGCCAAGCUGUUGGCAGCUGCAGGAAAACACAAUUGGCUCACCUUUGACCUUGCUGCUAGUAAAGGAACCUGUUAAUCAAAGUGAUCUCAGUGAAAGGCUUUACCCAGGUCUGUCUCAUUUCCAGGGACCUCUCAGGUAUAAAUUUGGGGGAUCCAAGACAUGCCUCACUUGGGUUCCAAGAAUUUUGGCUUCAUAUCGUUUGACCUGGUCCUAGUCAAGCCUAUUACGGAUGGAGAUUUCAAUGUUAAACUGGAGCCAAUCAAUAAUUAACACUCUGAACUGAGCAUAUUUCUUCUCAAAACAGAAAUGUAGGUUGUAUGUCUACAAGUUUGAUAUAUUAUAUGAAUCAAAUAGUCUUGCAUCCCACAGGAUGUAAAAUAAUUUUGUUUCCAUCCAAUCACAAUUUGUAUGUGUGUAAAUUGUGUCUGGUAAAACACUAAUAUGCUGUGACAAACGUAACUCCUUUACUUAAACAUAGGCUUAUGAUGUUCAUAGUACUAAGACAUUCUAACUCCUAUACUUGAACAUAGGCUUACGAUAUUCGUAGUACUAAGACAUCCUAACUCCUUUACUUAAACAUAGGCUUACGAUAUUCGUAGUACUAAGACAUCCUAACUCCUAUACUUGAACAUAGGCUUACGAUAUUCGUAUUACUAAGACAUCCUAACUCCUUUACUUAAACAUAGGCUUAUGAUUUUCAUAGUACUAAGACAUUCUAACUCCUAUACUUGAACAUAAGCUUACGAUAUUCGUAGUACUAAGACAUUCUAACUCCUUUACUUGAACAUAGGCUUAUGAUGUUCGUAGUACUAAGACAUUCUAACUCCUAUACUUAAACAUAGGCUUACGAUAUUCGUAGUACUAAGACAUUCUAACUCCUUUACUUAAACAUAGGCUUAUGAUGUUCGUUGCACUAAGACAUUCUAACUCCUUUACUUAAACAUAGGCUUAUGAUGUUCGUUGCACUAAGACAUUCUAACUCCUUUACUUAAACAUAAGCUUACGAUAUUCGUAGUACUAAGACAUUCUAACUCCUAUACUAUAACAUAGACUUACAAUAUUCGUAGUGCUAAGACAUUGUAACUCCUAUACUAUAACAUAGACUUACAAUAUUCGUAGCACUAAGAUCACUUUGAGGAAUAUACUGAAUUCCUGAAUUUGCAUUUCUGUUUUAUUUGCUGUUUAUAGUGUAGUUCCGUCCAACUGAGUAUAUUCUGCUAAGUCAAACCUGAAGCUACCAAUUGCCAUUUUUACUUUUUGGAUAGGAAAGAUGUUAACAUUCUUUCCUUGUUGUCUCAAAACCGAUAUCUUUAACAGUUUGCAUUUAAUGGCAACAUAAAACAUGCAUAUAAUACAGUUUUUUAUUGCUUAUACAUUCAAACACUACUACAUCAUCUUAAGAUAUGUUCUCCGUUGUGUCAAACCUCGAAGUAUUUACGUAGGUCCCUUCAACUUCGACACAACGCGUAUAACUGUAUGUAUAUAUUGUGACAAGACAUAAAGAAACAAUAGAUGUUUUUGUUUCUAAGGCAUAACAAAAUGUAAGAGGCCUCUUUCCUUCUCUAUUGAUAUCCUUUUUUUCAUUGGGUCCUCAUGAAAUACAAUCUCACUGAAAUCAGAUCUUAGUUCUUGCUGCCGCUAAACAAAGAUCUGAGGACAUCCCAUUACGGGUCACGUCACGGGACAAAAAAAUAACAUGUGGAAUCUAAUAUCACUAUAAUUCAAACUUUGGAAGAAAUAAUGACUGAUUUCCUAAGUUCAUAAUAUUUAAAUAUUUGAAUCAGUAACAAACAAAAAACUGAAACAGAAUCUGUUUGUUAAAACUAUAUUUGUAAAUUCACCUUUGUAUUUUGUUGCAGUGUUUGCUUUUAGUAUUUACAUAUUUUUAUAUAUCUAAAACUGUUAGAGCUUUUAUUGUUAAUGUAUAGUUUUACACUGUUUCUUAUAAUCAGUUUUCAUCUAUGUAUACUAUAUAUCUGAAUUAUUAUUACAAUCCUAAAAUAAUAAUAACACAUCAUGAAGUAAUCUUAACUAGUGAUGAUUGUAAAUAAUUAUUAAGAAUAUUUCUUGUGGAGGUCGAUGCUGAUGAAGUAGAAUGAAAAGGGAACCAUUUUGAAUGUGUACAAGCUGCACGGGAACAUAGACUUGUAUAGACGUUUUUGUAAAAUAAUUUUCUAUGAACAUGAAAAUAAUAUUUUUGUAUAAAGCAAGCAUGACAUGAAAUGUUUCUGUUUGAUUUCUUCAUUUAUAGAUCGUUUUUAGAAAGGAUAAAACAUCUAUACCUGUCCCUAUGCCAGAAACCUAUGAUUGUCGGUUCGAAUCCCGGUUCGCCUCGAUUAUGUUUCUAGGUUUGUCAGCACCAUACCUGUGCUCGUGGGUUUCACCAAAGUGGUAAACGUCUGAGACCUGCUUUCCUCCUAAAUUAAGCUGACACGCCAUGAUAUGACUGGAAUACUGUUAAAAGGGGCGUUAAACCCAACUCACUCACUCUAUACCUGUGCAGUAUUUAAAUUGAUCUAGAAUCCAUUGGUUCCCGCAGCAGGUUAGCGGCCAGGGUUCUGUUCCACUAAGCUAUCCCUGUGAUGUGAUAACAAUACCUCCAAUACUGUAACACAGGCUUACGAUAGUCAUAGCUCUAAGAUCGCUCUGUGGAACGGGGCCCAGGCGGCGGGCCGAAAAUGUACAAACUUGGGUGCGCAUUCUUAACAUCUUUUACGAAUGUAAAUAAACAUGGAGAAAUGUCCACAUACUGGAAGUUUUUUGGUCAAUAAACAUUAUUACAAAC